Carassius carassius (crucian carp) is the source of this 998-nucleotide long non-coding RNA. RefSeq lists it as uncharacterized. The record is from RefSeq and is a predicted model, not a curated record. The transcript has 3 exons. NCBI's taxonomy places the organism in Eukaryota, Metazoa, Chordata, Actinopteri, Cypriniformes, Cyprinidae.
CACGUUCAUUAGAGCUUGUAAAUGAGGAGGAGGUUUUUUUGGUUGCUGAAUGUGACUAAUGACUUCUUGUUGCAGCAACAGAGUUGUUGGACGGAUGACCACCUGACUUGGGGUGAUAAGGUUGUUUGCCGCUGGUGGAAUACUGUAGACCAGACAUCUGAGGGGACUGGGGAGAGGUAUAGUGUGGACAUUUUCCUGGUGGAUGCUGUCCUCUACAUCUCCAGCACUGAACUGGGAUUUUCUCAGCAGUUGAUGUCCUAAUUUUACCAGCUCUUCCACAGUAUUUACUCGGCUACGCAAUUGGCUGGCAAGUACGGACACGUUCAGCCAGUUUGUCCUCAUAAUCCUCAGAAAGGAAAGCAGAUAAAAAUGCAGUCUCAAACUCAUUCCAAGUGGUUAUGGUGGACCGUCUGACCUCCCACCAGUCUCGUGCUGUUCCGUACAAGUCAGUACGGAAGGUAGCCAGGAUGUCUGCAUCUGUCAGGGGAUGUACAGCCAAAAAAUCCUGACAUUUGGUUAGGUACAAUAGGGGGUCUGCAUCGUCUGACGGCCUUCCAAAUGUGGGGAAGGUUAAUUUAAUAUGGUCACUUUUAACCACAGAUGUUAACGGAGGGGUUAAAGAAGAUGAAGGAGUCACUGGAGCAGAAGGAGAUGGCUGGGAUGAGAUACUGGUAGUGCUGCGACCUGGUGGCGUCAAUACACUUAACUUUUGUUGAUCUGCACUUCUUUUAACACUUUGAAAUCCUUUCUCCACUUCACUUUUCAACUCUUUGAAACCGGUGUGACAUUGAUCAGUUUGAGUAACACAUUGUUGGAGUUGUGAAGUUAUCUUAUUAUGGCUUGUUUGGAAAGUGUUUCGAACAGCUUUGAUGUCCUGCUGAACCUCUGCUUGGAGUUGAUCAACCAUGAAUCGUAGUUCGGACACCAAGGUAGAUUCCACCUUCUGGAGUUCUUCCGUGAUCAUUAACUUCAUCGCUUUAGUCAGGUUAUCUGCUUCA